UACGGGGGGAGCAAGCGUUGUUCGGAUUUACUGGGCGUAAAGGGCGCGUAGGCGGCGUAACAAGUCACUUGUGAAAUCUCCGGGCUUAACCCGGAGCGGCCAAGUGAUACUGUUGUGCUAGAGUGCGGAAGGGGCUACUGGAAUUCUCGGUGUAGCGGUGAAAUGCGUAGAUAUCGAGAGGAACACCUGCGGCGAAGGCGGCAUCCUGGACCGGUAUUGACGCUGAGGCGCGAAAGCUAGGGGAGCAAACGGG
RNAcentral lists this ribosomal RNA (253 nucleotides) under uncultured bacterium. Its description in RNAcentral is "partial 16S ribosomal RNA". It matches the Rfam family "Bacterial small subunit ribosomal RNA", at positions 524 to 776 of the family's 1533-position model. The record is from RNAcentral.